RNAcentral lists this long non-coding RNA (355 nucleotides) under Callithrix jacchus (white-tufted-ear marmoset). RNAcentral's name for it is "lncRNA (ENSCJAG00000080266.1)". Lineage: Eukaryota; Metazoa; Chordata; Mammalia; Primates; Cebidae. The record is from RNAcentral.
AUGAGUGAGCCUAGCCAAGGUGAAAAGAACUACCCAGCUGAAAUCCCAGCCAAAAUGGCAGACCUACAGAAUCGUCCAAGCACAGAUCCUAAUGGGAUAAAGGAAAAGUCUUUUCUCCCCUACACAACUUCUUUUGUUUUUCUCCACUGCCAAUCCCAGCCUGCAUUUGAUUCCCAAGGUAUAGUGUCUCCAACAUCACUCUUCAGUCCUAGUGUACGGAGUAUAAAGAAGAAAGGGGAGCAUGUCAGUCAAAAAAAAAAAAAAAAAAAAAAACAAAGAAAAAUGGAAGCAGCACAAUGUUGACUUAGAACUGACUGACUGGAUUUGAAAGCAGUGUUUGAGAUAAAAGUUCAUG